GUGGGGAAUAUUGGACAAUGGGCGAAAGCCUGAUCCAGCAAUGCCGCGUGAGUGAUGAAGGCCUUAGGGUUGUAAAGCUCUUUUACCAGGGAUGAUAAUGACAGUACCUGGAGAAUAAGCUCCGGCUAACUCCGUGCCAGCAGCCGCGGUAAUACGGAGGGAGCUAGCGUUGUUCGGAAUUACUGGGCGUAAAGCGCACGUAGGCGGUUACUCAAGUCAGAGGUGAAAGCCCGGGGCUCAACCCCGGAACUGCCUUUGAAACUAGGUAACUAGAAUCUUGGAGAGGUCAGUGGAAUUCCGAGUGUAGAGGUGAAAUUCGUAGAUAUUCGGAAGAACACCAGUGGCGAAGGCGACUGACUGGACAAGUAUUGACGCUGAGGUGCGAAAGCGUGGGGAGCAAACAGGAUUAGAUACCCCGGUAGUCU
This 425-nucleotide ribosomal RNA is filed under the name uncultured bacterium. RNAcentral's name for it is "partial 16S ribosomal RNA". It matches the Rfam family "Bacterial small subunit ribosomal RNA", at positions 354 to 796 of the family's 1533-position model. The record is from RNAcentral.